GACGAACGCUGGCGGCGUGCCUAACACAUGCAAGUCGAGCGGGGACGAAGGAGUAGCAAUACGAAUUGUUCUAGCGGCGGACGGGUGAGUAACGCGUGAGCAACCUGUCCCAAACAGGGGGAUAACGAACCGAAAGGUUCACUAAUACCGCAUAAGACCACGGAGUCACAUGGCUCAGGGGUCAAAGGAGUAAUCCGGUUUGGGGUGGGCUCGCGUCUGAUUAGCUAGUUGGUGAGGUAACGGCUCACCAAGGCGACGAUCAGUAGCCGACCUGAGAGGGUGAUCGGCCACAUUGGAACUGAGACACGGUCCAAACUCCUACGGGAGGCAGCAGUGGGGAAUAUUGGGCAAUGGGCGAAAGCCUGACCCAGCAACGCCGCGUGAAGGAAGAAGGUCUUCGGAUCGUAAACUUCUAUCCUUGGUGAAGAUAAUGACGGUAGCCGAGAAGGAAGCCCCGGCUAACUACGUG
This 469-nucleotide ribosomal RNA is filed under the name uncultured bacterium. RNAcentral describes it as "bacterial SSU rRNA". It matches the Rfam family "Bacterial small subunit ribosomal RNA", at positions 28 to 507 of the family's 1533-position model. The record is from RNAcentral.